This 617-nucleotide ribosomal RNA is filed under the name Malbranchea filamentosa. RNAcentral's name for it is "LSU rRNA". It matches the Rfam family "Eukaryotic large subunit ribosomal RNA", at positions 38 to 667 of the family's 3401-position model. Lineage: Eukaryota; Fungi; Ascomycota; Eurotiomycetes; Onygenales; Malbrancheaceae. RNAcentral also lists the same sequence under 4 other names. The record is from RNAcentral.
GCAUAUCAAUAAGCGGAGGAAAAGAAACCAACAGGGAUUGCCCCAGUAACGGCGAGUGAAGCGGCAAAAGCUCAAAUUUGAAAUCUGGCUCCGUUCCGGGGUCCGAGUUGUAAUUUGCAGAGGAUGCUUUGGGUGCACCCGCGGCGUAAGUCCCUUGGAACAGGGCGUCACAGAGGGUGAGAAUCCCGUCUUGAGUCGCUGGCGUGUGCCCGUGCAAAGCUCCUUCGACGAGUCGAGUUGUUUGGGAAUGCAGCUCUAAUUGGGUGGUAAAUUUCAUCUAAAGCUAAAUACUGGCCGGAGACCGAUAGCGAACAAGUAGAGUGAUCGAAAGGUUAAAAGCACCUUGAAAAGGGAGUUAAAUAGCACGUGAAAUUGUUGAAAGGGAAGCGCUUGCAGCCAGACUCGGGCGCGGAGGCUCAGCGGGCAUGUUUGCCCGUGUACUCCUUCGCGCCCGGGCCAGCAUCAGUUUUGGCGGCCGGUCAAAGGCCCCCGGGAUGUAUCGUCCUCCGGGACGUCUUAUAACCGGGGGUGCAAUGCGGCCAGCCGGGACUGAGGAACGCGCUCCGGCACGGAUGCUGGCGUAAUGGCUGUAAGCGGCCCGUCUUGAAACACGGACC